GUAACAAUUUGUACGGAUGGGCCAUGUCCCAAUACAUGCUUCAUGAUGUUUCAAAUAGUCUGAUCCUACAUUAAACUUAUUGAGGAAUUUGGAUGACACUUCACCUAUAGAAUGGGCAUAUGAAGUAAAUAUUUAAUAUUCAGAACACUUAAACUAAUGAUUUUGAAAAGGACUAUUACAGAUUAAUGAACAAUUCAUUAUUUAGUAAUUUAUUAUUCAUAAUUAAAACUCUACUGUUAUAAUAUUAAUAUGGUUUCAUAUGUAAGACGAUGGAGUCUAUGCAACAGAGGAUAGAUGCUAAACUGUUAUCUACUGAGAAGAGAGUACAGAAACUCAUAAACAGAAUAACAUUAAGAUCAUGAAUUAAGAUUUACAGAGUACUGAACGAAUGUGUGAUUAGUGAAGUUUGAACUUUCUCAAUUUUGGCAAGGUCACUAACACCAUCUAGUCUACUCUUUACAAACUAUGUCAAUAUUUAUUGUAGAAUAGAUAUGCAAUUUAUUACAUAUCCUACUUCAGUCUAAACUUAAAACUGGUUUUAGUUUAUUUUUAUACCAAAUUUAUCUUUAAAGCGCUAACUGUCAUGCCAUACAGUGAGAACUAGACAGAUUCAGAAAAAAAUUGAUAAGACCUUUACUUACAUUGGGUACCUGUAUAUCUUAAUUUGUGGUUCAGAUGCAUGUUUGGAGAGAACAUAUAUGUUGACAGUCCAAAACUCCUAUAUUUUUGCGCAUCUCUACACAAAACUUACUACUAUUUAACCCUAUUACUGGACUCAAACUCGUGCUAUGAAAUACAAUGACGCGUUUGAUGAUGGAGCGUAAUCAUUUGCUUUUCCUCAUUUUAUGGAGUAUAGAAAAUAACUUUUAGCUGCAUGUUAUAUUGAAGUUCAAGUAGUUAUAUACAUUUGAUCAUGGUUAUCAAUCCCUUUAUAUUGCUGCGAGGAAAAAGAAGCCUGACUUGUAAUCAAACAAGAGUAAGUAUC
This 985-nucleotide long non-coding RNA is filed under the name Cinara cedri. Lineage: Eukaryota; Metazoa; Arthropoda; Insecta; Hemiptera; Aphididae. The record is from RNAcentral.